AAGGGAGACCUAAUUCCGGUAGGAGACGAAAAAAAAGUAGUCCCUACCAAGAAUCAAUCCCAAAAGGUCGAAGCGAGGCAAGAUUGGCUUUCAAACUAGGUUCUGGGUUCAAACAAGACCUGAAUCAGGAACAAGGGCUAUUAGCUCAGGUGGUUAGAGCGCACCCCUGAUAAGGGUGAGGUCCCUGGUUCGAGUCCAGGAUGGCCCACCUGCACAGGUGGCAAAAACAAAGAAGCGAGGAAUCAGCACCUUAUCUUACUCAUAUAGUAAGAGAGAAUGCUGGCUCUGGGUAAAGAGUCCAGAGGAACCUUGAAAACUGCAUAGAGCUAGGUGAAAAAGCCAAAAAAGAAGACCGCAA
RNAcentral lists this transfer RNA (358 nucleotides) under uncultured Microcystis sp. RNAcentral's name for it is "partial 16S-23S ribosomal RNA intergenic spacer". The stretch from base 135 to 208 matches the Rfam family "tRNA". The record is from RNAcentral. Lineage: Bacteria; Bacillati; Cyanobacteriota; Cyanophyceae; Chroococcales; Microcystaceae.